Molecule: ribosomal RNA, 752 nt
Filed under: Levilactobacillus brevis
Lineage: Bacteria; Bacillati; Bacillota; Bacilli; Lactobacillales; Lactobacillaceae
Description: bacterial SSU rRNA
Rfam family: Bacterial small subunit ribosomal RNA
Source: RNAcentral
UUUUUUAUGUCUGAUGUGAAAGCUUUCGGCUUAACGGGAGAAGUGCAUCGGAAACUGGGAGACUUGAGUGCAGAAGAGGACAGUGGAACUCCAUGUGUAGCGGUGGAGUGCGUAGAUAUAUGGAAGANCACCAGUGGCGAAGGCGGCUGUCUAGUCUGUAACUGACGCUGAGGCUCGAAAGCAUGGGUAGCGAACAGGAUUAGAUACCUUGGUAGUCCAUGCCGUAAACGAUGAGUGCUAAGUGUUGGAGGGUUUCCGCCCNUCAGUGCUGCAGCUAACGCAUUAAGCACUCCGCCUGGGGAGUACGACCGCAAGGUUGAAACUCAAAGGAAUUGACGGGGGCCCGCACAAGCGGUGGAGCAUGUGGUUUAAUUGGAAGCUACGCGAAGAACCUUACCAGGUCUUGACAUCUUCUGCCAAUCUUAGAGAUAAGACGUUCCCUUCGGGGACAGAAUGACAGGUGGUGCAUGGUUGUCGUCAGCUCGUGUCGUGAGAUGUUGGGUUAAGUCCCGCAACGAGCGCAACCCUUAUUAUCAGUUGCCAGCAUUCAGUUGGGCACUCUGGUGAGACUGCCGGUGACAAACCGGAGGAAGGUGGGGAUGACGUCAAAUCAUCAUGCCCCUUAUGACCUGGGCUACACACGUGCUACAAUGGACGGUACAACGAGUCGCGAAGUCGUGAGGCUAAGCUAAUCUCUUAAAGCCGUUCUCAGUUCGGAUUGUAGGCUGCAACUCGCCUACAUGAAGUUGGAA